Manis pentadactyla (Chinese pangolin) is the source of this 1241-nucleotide long non-coding RNA. RefSeq lists it as uncharacterized. The transcript is spliced from 3 exons. The record is from RefSeq and is a predicted model, not a curated record. NCBI's taxonomy places the organism in Eukaryota, Metazoa, Chordata, Mammalia, Pholidota, Manidae.
CCUCCCCACCGGGGCGGAAGCCGGGUCCAGCCGGCAGAAGAUCCGGGGCUAGGGCAAAAAGGGUAGUCCUGCGAAGACUGAAGGGUGAGGACGGGGCGCCCACUCUGCGCGUGAUCGCCGGCACUGCGCGUGCGCCCAGGCGCGGCCCGGGUGACAGGUCAUAACAGACUUCAGAUUAGAAGGGAAAUGCCUGCUGGAAGUAAAAACAACAUGAUGAUUGACCACAGUGAAGAGACAGACAAAUCUUGAACCAGGAAACCACACGUCUAACUUAUAACCUCUGGAGAUAUUGUCAUCAUACAACUAGCAUAAUUUAUUGAUAUCCAUAAAGCUCAUGGUCUCAAUCUAUCCCCCUCCAAGCUGCCAAUGUGAUCUCUCAGAGAAGGAACUGCCACUGAGGCCCUUUGCAGCUCCUUAAUGCCAAGGGUGAAUAUUUCAAACUAGCAUGCAAAGUCCUUCAUGAUCUGGCCCCUGCAGCCCUGUCCAGUCCCAUCUCAAGACAGAGCACCAUUCAUUCCUGUAACUCAUAUGGAGCAACCUGUGCUUUAGAACUCCAGGCCUUAGCUCACGCUUCCCAAUGCCUGAGAUUCCUUCCUUCCACCAUUCAUCUGGCAAAAACACACGCACUUUUCAAGAUUCCAUGCACCUGCCUUCUCGGACUACCCCUUGCCCAAAUCUAUUGAUCACUUCAGCUUUGUGCCUCCUCCAUCUCCAUACUCUGUGCAGAUUCCAUCAAAAUUACUGUUUAGAGUGUUCAUUUCUGACAUGUCUGUUCUAUGUAGCCCCAGAUGCUGGGCGUAUUAGGGCCAGAGCCAGGUCUUAUUCAUCUUUAUGUCUCUAAAACUUGAACCGUGCCUACUGAAUAGUAUUUGUCCAGUAAAUUUGUGUGGUUACAUGAAAAUACAGAAUAAAUUGAUGAAUAAUGAAUAAAUGCCCAAUUUCCACAGUGCAAUUAGGGAAAUGGGUAAUGGUUUAGGAAGGUUUCUAGCUCCGAGUAUUACAGCCUCUUAAAAAUAUUUUGGUUGUUUUAAUAGAGAAUUAUCAGUAUCUGGAUGGAUUCAUUGAUUCAGAAUAUCUCCAAUCAAAUCUGUUAGGGUUUUGUACUAUUGCUAGCUGUUAAUAGACCUACUGCUCCAGAUAGAAGGAGAUGGCUGGCUUCUUGCCAUGCUUUCUCCAUCACUGUAUCACUCACCAUCAAUAAAGAUAAAUAUGCUUUAUAAAUACCUUUAUAAAGGCUUUUA